This 464-nucleotide ribosomal RNA is filed under the name Vreelandella stevensii. RNAcentral's name for it is "partial 16S ribosomal RNA". It matches the Rfam family "Bacterial small subunit ribosomal RNA", at positions 338 to 795 of the family's 1533-position model. The record is from RNAcentral. Lineage: Bacteria; Pseudomonadati; Pseudomonadota; Gammaproteobacteria; Oceanospirillales; Halomonadaceae.
CCUACGGGAGGCAGCAGUGGGGAAUAUUGGACAAUGGGGGCAACCCUGAUCCAGCCAUGCCGCGUGUGUGAAGAAGGCCCUCGGGUUGUAAAGCACUUUCAGUGAGGAAGAACGCCUGGUGGUUAAUACCCAUCAGGAAAGACAUCACUCACAGAAGAAGCACCGGCUAACUCCGUGCCAGCAGCCGCGGUAAUACGGAGGGUGCGAGCGUUAAUCGGAAUUACUGGGCGUAAAGCGCGCGUAGGUGGCUUGAUAAGCCGGUUGUGAAAGCCCCGGGCUCAACCUGGGAACGGCAUCCGGAACUGUCAAGCUAGAGUGCAGGAGAGGAAGGUAGAAUUCCCGGUGUAGCGGUGAAAUGCGUAGAGAUCGGGAGGAAUACCAGUGGCGAAGGCGGCCUUCUGGACUGACACUGACACUGAGGUGCGAAAGCGUGGGUAGCAAACAGGAUUAGAUCCCUGGUAGUC